CCUACGGGAGGCAGCAGUAAGGAAUAUUGGUCAAUGGACGAAAGUCUGAACCAGCCAUGCCGCGUGAAGGAUGAAGGCCCUCUGGGUUGUAAACUUCUUUUAUCUGGGACGAAAAAGCUCAUUCUUGAGCACUUGACGGUACCAGAGGAAUAAGCACCGGCUAACUCCGUGCCAGCAGCCGCGGUAAUACGGAGGGUGCAAGCGUUAUCCGGAUUCACUGGGUUUAAAGGGUGCGUAGGUGGGUCUGUAAGUCAGUGGUGAAAUCUCCGAGCUUAACUCGGAAACUGCCAUUGAUACUAUAGGUCUUGAAUCAUCUGGAGGUAAGCGGAAUAUGUCAUGUAGCGGUGAAAUGCUUAGAUAUGACAUAGAACACCAAUUGCGAAGGCAGCUUACUACGGGUGUAUUGACACUGAGGCACGAAAGCGUGGGGAUCAAACAGGAUUAGAUACCCUGGUAGUCCACGCCCUAAACGAUGGAUACUCGACACNCAGCGAUACACUGUUGUGUCGUG
RNAcentral lists this ribosomal RNA (511 nucleotides) under uncultured bacterium. RNAcentral's name for it is "bacterial SSU rRNA". It matches the Rfam family "Bacterial small subunit ribosomal RNA", at positions 338 to 850 of the family's 1533-position model. The record is from RNAcentral.